Non-coding RNA from Dipodomys ordii (Ord's kangaroo rat), 70 nucleotides. Lineage: Eukaryota; Metazoa; Chordata; Mammalia; Rodentia; Heteromyidae. The record is from Rfam.
GGAAUUGUGGCUUAGUGGUAGAGUGCUUGCCUAGCAUGCAUGAAGCCCUAGGUUCAAUACCUCAGUACCA